Long non-coding RNA from Neofelis nebulosa (Clouded leopard), 1073 nucleotides. RefSeq lists it as uncharacterized. The record is from RefSeq and is a predicted model, not a curated record. Lineage: Eukaryota; Metazoa; Chordata; Mammalia; Carnivora; Felidae. The transcript has 2 exons.
CUGCCCCUCCUCCACUUUCUCUCUCUCCAAAAAUAAACAUUAAAAAAAUUUUAAAUGUGUACCUGAACAGAGGAGCUUGUCAAACACCAGUACUUCACUAAAGGUGAGGGAGAACAAAGAAAGCCCAGAAGAACCUAGCUUCAAUACAGACCUCUUGAAUAAGACAUCCCCAGAAGCCUGCUUCUGAAGGAAACAGUGGAAUAUAAAAGCCCAAACUCUAUCCUGUUAUGAUUUUGCUGACAAUUAGUCUUAGGAAUGUAAAUAUGACCAAACCCAGGGCAAAAUUACUUUUUCUUAAAGCCAGUGCAUUCACUUUGUAAUGGAAUAAUGCAGGUGGAUCACAAAGAAAUGUAUUAUUAUAAUUAAGAGACAUGUCAACAGAACAUAUCCCUUUGGGAGAAUGCCUGAAAAUAAGCAGAAUCAAGGGACUUAUUUGUUUAUUUCAGUUGUUACAGCUGAUCAGAUUGGGGAGAACUUUGUAACUUCUUUAAUAAUUAAGCCGAGUUAAACCAUCAAUGGUCAUAAAUUAACUCAAACCAGUGACCAAGUCUACUAAAGCCGGCGUGUGUGUGUAUAUACAUGUAUAUAUAUUGGGUUGCCAUGAUAAUACAUUGUGAAGUGUGGAAAGAGAAAAGGUAGAAAUUCUAGUCAAUAGCAGAAAGGAAGUAUGUGUCAAUUCUCCUUCCCCCAUUCUUUCUGAAUCGUUGUCUGUCUUCCGGGGCUAGUAAAGAAACUUAAACCCCAAGCAUUUGGCCUGCCAUUUCCGUAGAUUAGCCUUUGAAGAUGUGAGCGGCGCCACGUCCAAUGUGGAGCUUGAACUCAUGACCCUGGGAUCAAGAGUCGCACGCUCUACCCUACUGAGCCAGCCAGGCGCCCUCACCUUUUUAGAGAGGGUGAAGUGUAAUAGGCAAUUAGGAGAGGGGGGGCCCUAUUUAAGACUCAGAAGGUUCAAAUUUAAAAUUAUUCAUGACACUCAACCUCUUUUUCCUCCUGCUUUAUGGCUGGAAAUAGUCAAAUGAAGGAAAGCUACAGAAAAUCCCCAAGAUGCUUGGGAAAUAAAAUAUUUACACAUA